GGAUGUGGCCCAGUGGUAGAAUACUUGCCUGGAAUGCAUGAGGCCCUGGGUUCUAUCCCCAGCACCA
This 67-nucleotide transfer RNA is filed under the name Marmota monax (woodchuck). RNAcentral describes it as "tRNA.Ser". The record is from RNAcentral. Lineage: Eukaryota; Metazoa; Chordata; Mammalia; Rodentia; Sciuridae.